This 500-nucleotide ribosomal RNA is filed under the name bacterium enrichment culture clone SC-1_43. RNAcentral describes it as "bacterial SSU rRNA". It matches the Rfam family "Bacterial small subunit ribosomal RNA", at positions 1 to 504 of the family's 1533-position model. The record is from RNAcentral.
UAGAGUUUGAUCCUGGCUCACAUUGAACGCUGGCGGCAUGCUUUACACAUGCAAGUCGAACGGCAGCGCGGGGCAACCUGGCGGCGAGUGGCGAACGGGUGAGUAAUACAUCGGAACGUACCCAGAAGUGNNNGAUAACGUAGCGAAAGUUACGCUAAUACCGCAUACGUUCUACGGAAGAAAGUGGGGGAUCUUCGGACCUCAUGCUUUUGGAGCGGCCGAUGUCUGAUUAGCUAGUUGGUGAGGUAAAGGCUCACCAAGGCGACGAUCAGUAGCUGGUCUGAGAGGACGACCAGCCACACUGGGACUGAGACACGGCCCAGACUCCUACGGGAGGCAGCAGUGGGGAAUUUUGGACAAUGGGCGCAAGCCUGAUCCAGCAAUGCCGCGUGAGUGAAGAAGGCCUUCGGGUUGUAAAGCUCUUUUGUCAGGGAAGAAACGGCUGGGGCUAAUAUCCCCGGCUAAUGACGGUACCUGAAGAAUAAGCACCGGCUAACUAC